GGCCUGGGGCACGACUCUGCCGCCAGCCCUUCCUCACAUGUCGGGUCUCCCGGGCUGGGGGGCGCCCGGCGGAUGCAGGAGGUGAGGAACUCGGGUUCGGGGAGAGCGACGGGAGGCGCGAGGAAGAGCAGCGCCGCUGCACAGCCGCGGAGGGAGGCUGGUCCCCUCAACAAUCGCCAAGAAUCCUCCGACCUUGCGAAGAAUGUCCUGCCAAAGCAUCACCCGUUUCUGCAAGUGUCUCAUGUUCUCUCAGAAUGGCAUUAGAGGGAACAGAAGUGCAUCUUGACCCACGUCUGUGGAAAGUGAGAAGUCAGAGCACCAGGACUGUACGGGAGCUAGGGAGAAGGCCAAUGAGUCCACGCCUGGCCGAGUCCUUUAUGUUCACUUCUUAUUCAAAUCCUACAGUUUGGUUCGCUCUGGAUUUGGUAAACAUCAUUUGAAGUCAUUUGCUCUGCAGAAGUUUGAGAAAUGUGACAACUGGGUUUUGUGGUUCAUCCUUUCACAGAAGCCACAGAUGCUGUUUUUCAAAAUAAAAAUGAAAUGGAAGAU
Molecule: long non-coding RNA, 549 nt
Filed under: Mus caroli (Ryukyu mouse)
Lineage: Eukaryota; Metazoa; Chordata; Mammalia; Rodentia; Muridae
Description: lncRNA (MGP_CAROLIEiJ_G0003468.1)
Source: RNAcentral